GACGAACGCUGGCGGCGUGCUUAACACAUGCAAGUCGAACGGAAAGGCCCUGCUUUUGUGGGGUGCUCGAGUGGCGAACGGGUGAGUAACACGUGAGUAACCUGCCCUUGACUUUGGGAUAACUUCAGGAAACUGGGGCUAAUACCGGAUAGGAGCUCCUGCUGCAUGGUGGGGGUUGGAAAGUUUCGGCGGUUGGGGAUGGACUCGCGGCUUAUCAGCUUGUUGGUGGGGUAGUGGCUUACCAAGGCUUUGACGGGUAGCCGGCCUGAGAGGGUGACCGGCCACAUUGGGAAUGAGAUACGGCCCAGACUCCUACGGGAGGCAGCAGUGGGGAAUAUUGCAAAAUGGGCGGAAGCCUGAUGCAGCAACGCCGCGUGCGGGAUGAAGGCCUUAGGGUUGUAAACCGCUUUCGCAUGUGACGAAGCGUGAGUGACGGUAAUGAGUAAAGAAGCACCGGCGAACUACGUG
RNAcentral lists this ribosomal RNA (468 nucleotides) under uncultured bacterium. RNAcentral's name for it is "partial 16S ribosomal RNA". It matches the Rfam family "Bacterial small subunit ribosomal RNA", at positions 28 to 507 of the family's 1533-position model. The record is from RNAcentral.